GAGCCCUGUAGCCUUGCUGCAGCAAGCCCCCAUCUCGCAGUCUCUCUGUGAGGACCAAGAGAGGAUUGGUGUGGAGGAGAUUAUUUGGGGGUGUUUUCAUUUCUCUGUGGAUUUUGUAGAAAGAAAUCAUCAUCUGUGUAGAAGCACAAUGGACUAGACACUCAGUUGGUAUCAGUCACCGUAGUUCUGCUGAUGCUGAUGGAUCCGUGACAACUGACGCCAGUUCAAGUAUCUGAAAAUCCCCCCUAGCAAGAAGCACG
Long non-coding RNA from Mauremys reevesii (Reeves's turtle), 260 nucleotides. RefSeq lists it as uncharacterized. The transcript has 3 exons. The record is from RefSeq and is a predicted model, not a curated record. NCBI's taxonomy places the organism in Eukaryota, Metazoa, Chordata, Testudines, Geoemydidae.